CAGCCGCCGCGGUAAUACGAAGGGUGCAAGCGUUAAUCGGAAUUACUGGGCGUAAAGCGUGCGUAGGCGGUGAGUUAAGUCUGCUGUGAAAUCCCCGGGCUCAACCUGGGAAUGGCAAUGGAUACUGGCAAGCUAGAGUGUGUCAGAGGAUGGUGGAAUUCCCGGUGUAGCGGUGAAAUGCGUAGAGAUCGGGAGGAACAUCAGUGGCGAAGGCGGCCAUCUGGGACAACACUGACGCUGAGGCACGAAAGCGUGGGGAGCAAACAGGAUUAGAUACCCCCGUAGUCCUGUCUCUUAUACC
RNAcentral lists this ribosomal RNA (301 nucleotides) under uncultured bacterium. Its description in RNAcentral is "partial 16S ribosomal RNA". It matches the Rfam family "Bacterial small subunit ribosomal RNA", at positions 509 to 808 of the family's 1533-position model. The record is from RNAcentral.